AUGAGCGUGUGGUUUGACAUGGCCCAGGUUGGCGCGUACCGGUGCCGCUGUGCCGGGGAGGGACCGGGCUGUGUCACCGCCAGAGACGUGCCAGGAUCAGGCCUGCAGCGAGCGGGAGGACCUCUGGGACACGCAGCACUCUCCUCCCUCCUCAGCAGAACCCGGCAUCGCCGGCGGUGCUGGGGUCACCCACAGCAGCUCCUGGCAUCGCCAGCGGUGCCAGGGUCAUCCACAGCAGCUCCCGGCAUCACUGACGUGCCAGGGUCACCCACAGCAGCUCCCGGCAUCACUGGCAUGCCAGGGCUCACCCACAGCAGCUCCUGGCAUCACCAGUGGUACCAGGGCUCACCCACAGUAGCUCCCGGCAUCGCCGGCGGUGCCAGGAUCACCAACAGCAGCUCCCGGCAUCACCGGUGUGCCAGGGUCACCCACAGCAGCUCCCGGCAUCGCUGGUGGUACCAGGGUCACCCACAGCAGCUCCCAGCAUCACCAGUGGUACCAGGGUCACCCACAGUAGCUCCCAGCAUCGCCGCCGGUGCCCCCCACAGCAGCUCCCAGAGGAUGCUCCUGGAGGGCAUCCCCAGACCAACCCCCCCUGGCACAGCUAUUACACCCGGUGUACGCAUCGUUGGCCAGCAUUGCCAGCAGCCCUUGGUCCCCAGCGGCCACCAAAGGGUCUGGGACAGGCGGGCACACCAGGCACAAACUUGGCUACAGAGCCUGGGGACAGGGACUGGCUGGAGAGGACACGAGUCCUCGCAGCAUCCCCCUGAGCUGCCUGCUCCUCCCGAGCCCUGCAGACACCGCAGCACGUGGUGCGGGGACACACACACACCACAGGGACUGUGCACCAGGGUGACCAAGCCACGCUGGAGGCUGACCCACCUGCUGCUGCCAGCGUUCCUGGGGGGCUCCUGCCUUCUCCCCACUGCUGGCAGGGGCUGGGGGCUCUGCAGAGGGGCUGGCUUCUCUAGGAAGGGCUGCAGGGUCCCCGGUGCACCCUGCGUGGCACAGAAGGACUCUGGAGGGGACACUCUCAGGUGUCCCAGCCCACACUGCUGA
This 1062-nucleotide long non-coding RNA is filed under the name Calidris pugnax (ruff). Its description in RNAcentral is "lncRNA (ENSCPUG00000000108.1)". Lineage: Eukaryota; Metazoa; Chordata; Aves; Charadriiformes; Scolopacidae. The record is from RNAcentral.